Molecule: non-coding RNA, 193 nt
Organism: Labrus bergylta (ballan wrasse)
Lineage: Eukaryota; Metazoa; Chordata; Actinopteri; Labriformes; Labridae
Source: RefSeq, a predicted model, not a curated record
UCUGGUUAUCGUGUUCCUCUCUGUCCUCGUGUGGAUCAGACAAAAGAGGGCUUCCAAUGAACCGUCUGAGGCUGAAGAGAGACAAGAACACACGGAGCAGGGACAACCAGAGGAGCAGGAAGACCUUCAGUAUGCCAGCAUACACUUCUCUAAAACCCAGGAGCCUCUGUACAGCAAUACCAGACCAGCUCGG